UUGACCUUCCUUCUUUGAUGUUCAAUCCUAUCAGCAGCUGACAAAGGAAGAGGAGGAGUGUCUUUUGAUGAAGAAGAAGGAAUAGAAUCACCAACAUUGGAGGAACAAUUGUUAGGGUUUGAUGAAUUUUGUCUAUUGAACUUAGUCUUUUUAAUAAACUGACCCCUUCCAACACUGCAAAACUCUUGAAGCAAUUCUUGAGUAGGUUUCAUAUAUUUUGAAUUUCUUAAAACAUUUACUACUACACUUCCAUAUCCUUGACCUUGAUUAUGACUUUGUAAUAAUUGGUAUCCAUUAAUGGUCCCUCCUCCUUGCAAUUGUAAAUUCAAUGCUUGUUGAUGAUUUAAUUUGUACGGAUAUGUUGAAGAAGAUGGUCCUCCACUUCCACCUUGAAUAUUGUAAUUAUUAUACAUAAAACUACCACCAUCUCCUCCUCCUCCUCCCAUUCGCAAUUCUUCCUCGGCUUUUGCAGCUUCCAAUGAUGAAGAUAAUGAUAAUGAAAGACCUUGAACACUUUGUCCUUCAACCGCACCUUCUUGAUGAGUAGUGGUAGUACUAUUCCAUGUGAAUUGUCCAAAAUUACCAGAAUUUGGAAAACCUUGUAAGGAAUUAUUAGGAGGGUUAGGGAGUAACAUGUGAAGAGUUGAAGAAUUUUGAUGAUGAGUUGGAGGAGGAGAAGAUGAUGAAGUUGUUGUUUGAUGAGAUUGAGAAGGGUUCAUGAGAAAAAGUUGCAUGGCAGCUGCAGAAUCAUCUGCUACAUUAAUGCUUGAAAUCUGUUGCUGAUGCUGCUGAAUCCCUUGUCUGUUAUUAUUACCAUACCAAUCAUUUUCUGAAGCUGUUGUUUGUGGUAGUUGUCUUGAAGAAGAAGAAGACGAAGAACGAAACGUCGCGGUUUCUAACAAUUCAGCUGUUGAAGGAUCAGCAAAAUUAAACAUCUCUGAUAACAUACCUGCAGUUUCAUACACACCUCCUCUUUCAUCUCCUUCUCCUUCUGAUAAAUUCAACCCUUGAAGCAGCCUAACUUUGUCCCUUUGGAUCUGUUGCUGCUGCUGUUGCUGCUGUUGUGACGACGAUGAUCUCUCGAAUCCAUUCGAGGAGAAGCCGAAGAUUGCUUGCUGAUAAUCUUGGGACAUAGAAUUUGAAGUUGAACAAUCCAAGGUUCUUUGGUUUUGGUGUGUCUUCAACUGAAUAAUGGAAGAAUAAGAAGAAGAGGAAGGAAAUGGUACUGGUGAUGCUACUCCCAUGUUAAAAUCAUCUUCCUUUCUCAGCAACUACCACCACCUCCUUAUAGUUAUUCACACCUUAUUUUAUAUAUAUACACCACUGUCCAAUAAUUCAAUUAUCAUUAAUAUUCAUAGGACAGAAAAGUAACAAAAUCCAAAAAUAGUGUAAAGAUAAAUAAUUAAAUAUGUAUAGCUAGCUAGCUAGGUAAGCCUAGUAGAAAUUAAGUGAAGAAAUAGAAAAAUGGUGAUUUUUUUUGUUUUCA
This 1486-nucleotide long non-coding RNA is filed under the name Medicago truncatula (barrel medic). RNAcentral describes it as "lncRNA gene29110". The record is from RNAcentral. Lineage: Eukaryota; Viridiplantae; Streptophyta; Magnoliopsida; Fabales; Fabaceae.